AGAAUCGCAAGGAGAUGCAUUGCUGGAGAGACUCAAAGUUCUUUCCACAGCUGGCGGGAGGAGACUUUCAAGUAACACCGUGUUGUUGAGAGUGUUACCUGCUGUGUAUGAAAAGCAGCCUCAGCCAAUUAAUAGACACCUGACAGAACUCCUGGCCUUGAUGUCUCAGCUGGAACAGCCAGAACAGUACCAUCUACUACGGCUUUUGCAUGUAGCAGCAAAGAAAAAACAACUCGAGGUAGUUCAGAAGUGUAUUCCUUUCCUAAUUGGGCAUUUGAAGGAUUCAACCCAUAAUGACAUCAUCUUAAACAUCCUCAUAGAGAUAGCAGGCUAUGAGCCAGUGGCUUUGAACGGUUUUCUUCCAAUGCUGAAAGAGAUUGGUGAGAGAUUCCCCUACCUCACUGGACAGAUGGCAAGGAUUUAUGGAGCUGUUGGGCAUGUGGAUGAAGAGAGAGCCAGGAGCUGCCUGACAUACCUGGUGAGCCAACUGGCCAACAUGGAGCAUUCAUUUCACCAUAUUCUCCUGCUGGAGAUUAAAAGCAUCACUGACAC
This 552-nucleotide small RNA is filed under the name Pongo abelii (Sumatran orangutan). Its description in RNAcentral is "processed transcript". The record is from RNAcentral. Lineage: Eukaryota; Metazoa; Chordata; Mammalia; Primates; Hominidae.